Phycodurus eques (leafy seadragon) is the source of this 775-nucleotide long non-coding RNA. RefSeq lists it as uncharacterized. NCBI's taxonomy places the organism in Eukaryota, Metazoa, Chordata, Actinopteri, Syngnathiformes, Syngnathidae. The transcript has 2 exons. The record is from RefSeq and is a predicted model, not a curated record.
UCUGGUGAGAAAGGUGUGUGUUAACAACAGCAGUGCAGGCAGCAGCAGCGAAAGAGACAGAGAGGCUUCUGAUCCGGAGAAGGAAAUAGCAAGAGGGGUCAAUGUAGGCCUACUCUUCAUGACCGGUGAAGCUGAGGAUGGCGACAUGCUCACAGACAUUCUGGAUGUUACAGUGAUACUGUAUCGUCCUCCGUCAGCUAAAAAGUGUUCUAAAUGCCUUUGCUGUCCUAAUUGGCCUCUUGGAUAGUCUCAACAUCGACUAUCCAAAGGGACUGAAAUACAGUUUUGAGAUAAUCCAGACAGUUUUCAUGGAUGUUUGCAGUGCGACAUGUUCAUCCAAAGUGCUUGCACAAGAACAAGAUUCUGCAACAAACAGUUUGAUCAGAUCUCUUCAAGUGGUCCGUCUUUCGUUGUUUAUGGAUAAAGACAGGUGGGAUCACUUCAAAUGUUAUCCAUUUUUGGACUGCAACUGUUAAAUGAGACCUGACUCAGUUCAAGUCUUGGUUUACACAUCUGUUGAAAACUCCUGCGACUUCUGCAGCCUCCUUUCUUUCUUUCUUUUUUUAACAUUUUCAUUUCUUUAAUACUCUUCUGUGGUAAACAUUGCAUAGCUCAAAUUCCUGGCCAUAUGCUGUAAGAGUGUCUCCCUCUUUCGCUCUUUCUGUUUGUCUUUUUACGUUACCAGAAUAAAGAAGGUACAGGGGAGGCAGAGGAACAGCAUUUGUUGACAAGAGAUUAAAAAUGAAGGAGACAUUUUUUUAAAAUAUCAACAUAA